AUAUCAGUAAAGGGAGGACAAGAAAACAAUGAUGAUUCUGUUAGUAGCGGCGAGUGAAAACAGAUUAGCCCCAAUGGUAAAGACGAAAGUCUGUUGUAAAGGGUGCGGGUAAUGUUUUGGAAAAAACAUUCGUAGAGGGUGAUAGACCUGUACGCUUGACCUAUAUUAGCGAGUAGCACUGUUUGGUAGUGCAGUGUGAAUGGGUGGUUGUGAUCAUCUAAGGCUAAAUAUGACCGGAGACCGAUAGCGCACAAGUA
This 257-nucleotide ribosomal RNA is filed under the name uncultured eukaryote. RNAcentral's name for it is "partial large subunit ribosomal RNA". It matches the Rfam family "Archaeal large subunit ribosomal RNA", at positions 181 to 492 of the family's 2987-position model. The record is from RNAcentral.